Long non-coding RNA from Lingula anatina, 496 nucleotides. The record is from RefSeq and is a predicted model, not a curated record. NCBI's taxonomy places the organism in Eukaryota, Metazoa, Brachiopoda, Lingulata, Lingulida, Lingulidae.
GCGUGAGAGCUAAAGUUUUGUUGUCAACAAACGUGCGUAGUGUCACAUUAGUAAAAAGGCUGUUGAGACGCCUGCUUUUGAAAUUCGAAGAAAGUAAACAUGGCAGAUUCAAGAGGUAUCAAGUUAUUUACUACUCCUCAAGACCAAAGUGCCGCGUAUGUAAAUGCAACAUAUGAAACUUCGGCGGGUAUGGAUCUCGCUCCAGAGGAGACAACAAGUGUUUACGAGAGUUUAAGGAUUUCUGGUCCAACUGACAAUGCCGAUGAUCCCAAUACAAGCAUUACACAGCCACCAAAGACAAAAGUCAAUAGACGAUUACAAAUAGCAUUGGUUUUAGUGGGAAUCAUGUGCGCUGCAUUGGUUGCUAUUGUUGUAUGGUCGCUAGCGUUUACCCAAAAAGAAAAUAGUGACAAACUCAACCAUGUAUUUGAGAGUUUGGUUUCAGCAAACAAUGGGUCAAAUGGUAAUUAAACGAAGGAAGUCAUUUGAUAUAAUA